GACGAACGCUGGCGGCGUGCUUAACACAUGCAAGUCGAACGGAAAGGCCCUGCUUUUGUGGGGUGCUCGAGUGGCGAACGGGUGAGUAACACGUGAGUAACCUGCCCUUGACUUUGGGAUAACUUCAGGAAACUGGGGCUAAUACCGGAUAGGAGCUCCUGCUGCAUGGUGGGGGUUGGAAAGUUUCGGCGGUUGGGGAUGGACUCGCGGCUUAUCAGCUUGUUGGUGGGGUAGUGGCUUACCAAGGCUUUGACGGGUAGCCGGCCUGAGAGGGUGACCGGCCACAGUGGGACUGGGAUACGGCCCAGACGCCUACGGGAGGCAGGAGUGGGGAAUAGUGCACAAUGGGCGGAAGCCGGAUGCAGCAACGCCGCGUGCGGGAGGACGGCCUUCGGGUGGGAAACCGCUUUCGCCUGUGACGAAGCGUGAGUGACGGUAAUGGGUAAAGAAGCACCGGCUAACUACGU
This 467-nucleotide ribosomal RNA is filed under the name uncultured bacterium. Its description in RNAcentral is "partial 16S ribosomal RNA". It matches the Rfam family "Bacterial small subunit ribosomal RNA", at positions 28 to 506 of the family's 1533-position model. The record is from RNAcentral.